GCAUCAAAAUCGACUUUAAACCCAUACUUGGCAAGCACGAUUUGUAGAGCGUCUUCUUCAACCAUGGUGGACAAAAGAUCUUCUGAAACCGCGACACAUGAUGGAAAAGUCCAUGAACGAAAUAUUGGGAAGAAGAAGGCACCGGUAAAACCUAAAGAUCAGAAAGCGAAUUUGGAGGCAAAAGUGGGCAAAGAUAAUUGAUAGUAACGUUAUGUCAUACUAAUACGAUUCUGAAAUCGACGAGGAGGGUGAUCCAAAAGCCUACUUCAACAGUGGUCGACACUCGAGCUUCUGGAUCGGCGAGGCCUGACGGAAAAGUGUAUCAGAGAACGACGUGAAGAAGAAGAUACCGCCGAUUCCAAAAGCACCGAAAGGAUGUUUAGAAUACCACUAUUUUAAUGAA
Molecule: long non-coding RNA, 403 nt
Organism: Salvia hispanica
Lineage: Eukaryota; Viridiplantae; Streptophyta; Magnoliopsida; Lamiales; Lamiaceae
Source: RefSeq, a predicted model, not a curated record